RNAcentral lists this long non-coding RNA (403 nucleotides) under Physcomitrium patens. Its description in RNAcentral is "long non-coding RNA (PPAT_LNC005703)". Lineage: Eukaryota; Viridiplantae; Streptophyta; Bryopsida; Funariales; Funariaceae. The record is from RNAcentral.
UGCUGUCAACUGGCGACGAUGGUUGUACAUUCGCAGGGGUGCUGCCAAUUGGCGACGAUAGGUUUGCGUUCGCGGGGGUGCUCUCAACUGGCGACGAUAGUUGUGCAAUUCCAGGGGUGCUAUCAAUUGGCGACGAUGGUUGUGCAUUCCCAGGUGUGCUAUCAAUUGGCGAUGAUGGAUGUGCAUUCGCGGGGGUGCUGCCAAUUGGCGACGAAGGUUGUGCAUUCGCGGGGGUGCUGCCAAUUGGUGACGAAGGUUGUGCAUUGGCGGGGGUGCUCUCAACAGACGUCGAUUUUGCCCAAAGCCCAGUUGUGGACGGAAUGAUAUGGGCGGGAGUGCCAUGGGGAAUGGCAUUGACCGGUGUGACGAAUCUUGUGGCGAGAAUUCGACCUUCGGCCGCACG